This 75-nucleotide transfer RNA is filed under the name Candidatus Gottesmanbacteria bacterium RIFCSPLOWO2_01_FULL_48_11. RNAcentral's name for it is "tRNA-Ile". It matches the Rfam family "tRNA". Rfam says of the family: Transfer RNA (tRNA) molecules are approximately 80 nucleotides in length. Their secondary structure includes four short double-helical elements and three loops (D, anti-codon, and T loops). Lineage: Bacteria; Candidatus Gottesmaniibacteriota. The record is from RNAcentral. RNAcentral also lists the same sequence under 1 other name.
GGGCCCGUAGCUCAGCGGCAGAGCGCGUGUCUUAUAAACACGAGGUGCCAGGAUCGUCACCUGGCGGGCCCACCA